AACGAACGCUGGCGGCAUGCCUAACACAUGCAAGUCGAACGAGACCUUCGGGUCUAGUGGCGCACGGGUGCGUAACGCGUGGGAACCUGCCCUUAGGUUCGGAAUAACUCCCCGAAAGGGGUGCUAAUACCGGAUAAUGUCUUCGGACCAAAGAUUUAUCGCCUUUGGAUGGGCCCGCGUUGGAUUAGCUAGUUGGUAGGGUAAAAGCCUACCAAGGCGACGAUCCAUAGCUGGUCUGAGAGGAUGAUCAGCCACACUGGGACUGAGACACGGCCCAGACUCCUACGGGAGGCAGCAGUGGGGAAUAUUGGACAAUGGGCGAAAGCCUGAUCGAGCAAUGCCGCGUGAGUGAUGAAGGCCUUAGGGUUGUAAAGCUCUUUUACCCGGGAUGAUAAUGACGGUACCGGGAGAAUAAGCUCCGGCUAACUACGUG
RNAcentral lists this ribosomal RNA (433 nucleotides) under uncultured bacterium. RNAcentral's name for it is "partial 16S ribosomal RNA". It matches the Rfam family "Bacterial small subunit ribosomal RNA", at positions 29 to 507 of the family's 1533-position model. The record is from RNAcentral.